UGCCUUUAUGUGUUGCUCUUUCACUGUUCCCCUAGUGAUCGGGGUGUCAAAUAAGGCAUACAAUGACACGUGUGGCUGUUUGUUAAAUUAGUUUGAAGUGACUCCUUUACCGUAACAGCUGCACGGACAUUU
Molecule: small nucleolar RNA, 132 nt
Organism: Cyclopterus lumpus (lumpfish)
Lineage: Eukaryota; Metazoa; Chordata; Actinopteri; Perciformes; Cyclopteridae
Source: Ensembl